Molecule: ribosomal RNA, 329 nt
Filed under: Bostryx sordidus
Lineage: Eukaryota; Metazoa; Mollusca; Gastropoda; Stylommatophora; Orthalicidae
Description: partial 16S ribosomal RNA
Source: RNAcentral
GACUGUGCUAAGGUAGCAUAAUCAUUUGGCCUUUAAUUGGGGUCUAGUAUGAAAGGAUUAAUUAAGGAAAUCUGUCUUUUUGGUAUUGUAAUUAACUUAAUUAGAAGGUGAAAAUGCCUUUAGAUGAAAUGAAAGACGAGAAGACCCUCAGACUUAUUUACAAAUUUAUAUAAUACAUAUAUAAUUAGUUUUUGCUGGGGCGGCAAAGCUUCAAAAUUAACAAGCUUUAGUUUAACAUAUAAAACAAGUAUUAUUUCUUACAAGUUAAGUACCUAAGGGAUAACAGCAUUAUUAAAUAUUUAGAUUGUGACCUCGAUGUUGGACUAGGA